This 199-nucleotide long non-coding RNA is filed under the name Trifolium pratense (red clover). RNAcentral describes it as "long non-coding RNA (TPRA_LNC009495)". Lineage: Eukaryota; Viridiplantae; Streptophyta; Magnoliopsida; Fabales; Fabaceae. The record is from RNAcentral.
ACUGUCAAGAUUGCAAGUUUUAUGCAGCAAGAGAGAGAGAGAGAGAGAGAGAGAGCUCUGUUUCUGCUCUGUUUUUUGUUGAGCUGUUGUUGGGUACGUACUCCGUACUAGUACAUGCAACAACCAACGACGCUAAGAAUGUGCGUUGUUGUGCUGCUUUGCAGAGUGGUAGUGCGCUGAACUGUACGGUGGAUUUGGG